AACGUAGGUUCCGAGCGUUAUCCGGAAUUACUGGGCGUAAAGCGCGCGCAGGCGGCUUUCUAAGUCCGUCGGUGAAAGACCGGGGCUCAACCCCGUGUCAGCCAUGGAUACUGGGAGGCUGGAGACAGGUAGAGGCAAGCGGAAUUCCGGGUGUAGCGGUGGAAUGCGUAGAUAUCCGGAAGAACACCGGAGGCGAAGGCGGCUUGCUGGACCUGGUCUGACGCUGAGGCGCGAAAGCGUGGGGAGCGAACAGG
Molecule: ribosomal RNA, 254 nt
Filed under: uncultured bacterium
Lineage: Bacteria
Description: partial 16S ribosomal RNA
Rfam family: Bacterial small subunit ribosomal RNA
Source: RNAcentral